RNAcentral lists this ribosomal RNA (547 nucleotides) under uncultured bacterium. RNAcentral's name for it is "partial 16S ribosomal RNA". It matches the Rfam family "Bacterial small subunit ribosomal RNA", at positions 355 to 895 of the family's 1533-position model. The record is from RNAcentral.
UGGGGAAUUUUGGACAAUGGACGAAAGCCUGAUCCAGCAAUGCCGCGUGUGUGAAGAAGGCCUUCGGGUUGUAAAGCACUUUUGUCCGGAAAGAAAUCCUUGGCUCUAAUACAGUCGGGGGAUGACGGUACCGGAAGAAUAAGCACCGGCUAACUACGUGCCAGCAGCCGCGGUAAUACGUAGGGUGCAAGCGUUAAUCGGAAUUACUGGGCGUAAAGCGUGCGCAGGCGGUUUGCUAAGACCGAUGUGAAAUCCCCGGGCUCAACCUGGGAACUGCAUUGGUGACUGGCAGGCUAGAGUAUGGCAGAGGGGGGUAGAAUUCCACGUGUAGCAGUGAAAUGCGUAGAGAUGUGGAGGAAUACCGAUGGCGAAGGCAGCCCCCUGGGCCAAUACUGACGCUCAUGCACGAAAGCGUGGGGAGCAAACAGGAUUAGAUACCCUGGUAGUCCACGCCCUAAACGAUGUCAACUAGUUGUUGGGGAUUCAUUUCCUUAGUAACGUAGCUAACGCGUGAAGUUGACCGCCUGGGGAGUACGGUCGCAAGAUU